Molecule: ribosomal RNA, 500 nt
Filed under: uncultured bacterium
Lineage: Bacteria
Description: partial 16S ribosomal RNA
Rfam family: Bacterial small subunit ribosomal RNA
Source: RNAcentral
ACUGAACGCUGGCGGCAUGCCUUACACAUGCAAGUCGAACGGUAACGGGUCCUUCGGGAUGCCGACGAGUGGCGAACGGGUGAGUAAUAUAUCGGAACGUGCCCAGUAGUGGGGGAUAACUGCUCGAAAGAGCAGCUAAUACCGCAUACGACCUGAGGGUGAAAGGGGGGGAUCGCAAGACCUCUCGCUAUUGGAGCGGCCGAUAUCAGAUUAGCUAGUUGGUGGGGUAAAGGCCUACCAAGGCAACGAUCUGUAGUUGGUCUGAGAGGACGACCAGCCCCACUGGGACUGAGACACGGCCCAGACUCCUACGGGAGGCAGCAGUGGGGAAUUUUGGACAAUGGGCGCAAGCCUGAUCCAGCAAUGCCGCGUGCAGGAAGAAGGCCUUCGGGUUGUAAACUGCUUUUGUCAGGGAAGAAAUCUUCUGGGCUAAUACCCCGGGAGGAUGACGGUACCUGAAGAAUAAGCACCGGCUAACUACGUGCCAGCAGCCGCCGCCG